This 376-nucleotide ribosomal RNA is filed under the name uncultured bacterium. RNAcentral describes it as "bacterial SSU rRNA". It matches the Rfam family "Bacterial small subunit ribosomal RNA", at positions 524 to 898 of the family's 1533-position model. The record is from RNAcentral.
GACGAACCGUCCGAACGUUAUUCGGUAUUACUGGGCUUAAAGAGUUCGUAGGCGGCUCUGUAGGUGAGAUGUGAAAGCCCUCGGCUCAACCGAGGAACAGCGUUUCAAACCACAGAGCUUGAGGAUGGCAGGGGUAGUGGGAACUGAUGGUGGAGCGGUGAAAUGCGUUGAUAUCAUCAGGAACACCGGUGGCGAAAGCGCACUACUGGGCCAUUUCUGACGCUGAGGAACGAAAGCUAGGGUAGCGAACGGGAUUAGAUACCCCGGUAGUCCUAGCCGUAAACGAUGAGCACUGGGUUGAGGGGACUUCCACAUCCUCUCGGCCGUAGCGAAAGCGUUAAGUGCUCCGCCUGGGGAGUAUGGUCGCAAGGUUGAA